This 599-nucleotide long non-coding RNA is filed under the name Gossypium raimondii (Peruvian cotton). RNAcentral's name for it is "long non-coding RNA (GRAI_LNC003564)". The record is from RNAcentral. Lineage: Eukaryota; Viridiplantae; Streptophyta; Magnoliopsida; Malvales; Malvaceae.
AAAACAAACUACGAAAUGCGAAACACACGGUCGACCCUCAAAAGAAAGGAAGAUUCGACAACUAGAAAAAGAAAGGAAAAGAUGAAAGCAUGGAAAAAUCAAAAGAGUAAAUCGGCAGCAGUGCAACAGAACAAGAAAUGGUAGAGGAGAUAGAUUCAAAAGAACAGAAGGGGAAGAAAGGUGUAUUCGACAAUAAAAAAGAAAGGAAACCAAAAAGAAAGAAGAAAAAGAAAAGGUGAGGGAGGAGAGUGUAUUCGGCCAAAAAGAAAAUAGGUAAAAAGGGAAGAGCAGUCAAAAGAAAACAAACCCGAGAGGUACCCUAAUUCUUAGCAAAAAUUUGGCACCAACAAGCACAGAAAGGGAAAACCACACAAAACCGGCAUGAAAAGUAAAACAAAAAUGAGCAGUAUGCCCCCUAGCCGAAUUUUCCUGAAUAAAAAGUUCAUUUUCGACACACCUCCCGUCUCCCCUCACUUCCCUUGAUUUUCUCCUAAAAUAUCUCCCUUUAUCCCUCCUUGAAUCACUCCACCAAUUUCUCCUCAACUCCCCCAACAACUUCAUUCAAAAUCUAUUCAAACUCCCCUUAGUUGUGUUUCAGU